RNAcentral lists this ribosomal RNA (578 nucleotides) under Tetraploa sp. RNAcentral's name for it is "partial large subunit ribosomal RNA". It matches the Rfam family "Eukaryotic large subunit ribosomal RNA", at positions 56 to 649 of the family's 3401-position model. Lineage: Eukaryota; Fungi; Ascomycota; Dothideomycetes; Pleosporales; Tetraplosphaeriaceae. The record is from RNAcentral.
GAAAAGAAACCAACAGGGAUUGCCCCAGUAACGGCGAGUGAAGCGGCAACAGCUCAAAUUUGAAAUCUGGCUCCCUCGGGGCCCGAGUUGUAAUUUGCAGAGGGUGCUUCGGCGUUGGCGCCGGCCUAAGUUCCUUGGAACAGGACGUCAUAGAGGGUGAGAACCCCGUACGUGGCAGGCCGCCUCCGCCGUGUGAAGCCCCUUCGACGAGUCGAGUUGUUUGGGAAUGCAGCUCUAAAUGGGAGGUAAAUUCCUUCUAAAGCUAAAUACUGGCCAGAGACCGAUAGCGCACAAGUAGAGUGAUCGAAAGAUGAAAAGCACUUUGGAAAGAGAGUCAAAAAGCACGUGAAAUUGUUGAAAGGGAAGCGCUUGCAGCCAGACUUGCCUGUAGUUGCUCAUCCGGGCCCCGGCCCGGUGCACUCUUCUGCGGGCAGGCCAGCAUCAGUCAGGGCGGCCGGAUAAAGGCCCCGGGAACGUAGCUCCCUCCGGGGAGUGUUAUAGCCCGGGGCGCAAUGCGGCCAGCCCCGACUGAGGUCCGCGCAUCUGCUAGGAUGCUGGCGUAAUGGCUGUAAGCGGCC